UGGGGGGGGGGGGGGGGGGGGUAAUUGUUUAAAACUUUAUGUCAUUUUCCAAAACUUCCAAAAAAUAUUAUCAAAAGACACACUUGGGGGUUAACACUUUAUUGCACCUACCCCCUUGGCUAGAAUAGUAUUUUUAAUUAGCUCAACUUGAACCAUUCUUAGUAAGAUUAGAAAUGUACUUAUUAAUUACUGUUUUGUAGUUAUUAACCACUUGACUGCUAUCCACAUGUGUUCUCGCUCUUGUAUGCCUGUGCGUACCACGUACAUGUACGUGCUUAGGGCAGUGCACUUUCAAGACCAUAGCACUGCAUAAUGCCAAAGCCCUGCUGUGUAAUUAACACUGCUAUGAUGUUAUAGAGGUCUUGAACAGUAGAUGGCGCUCUUCCAAAAAAAUAUGGCUUUUGAUGUGUACAGUUUUUGUCAGGUUUUUGUACAGUACAAAAAUGCUGUAGCACAGGGGGUAUGAACGCGUUUUAAGCCAAUAGCAGUCAAGUGGAUAAGCUGUGGAAAAGAUAGACAAAACAUUUGAUUACUUUCAUAAUUUGCAAAUAUGUUCAUUAAAUGCAACAUAUUAUUUUUAUUAUUAUUGUUAUUAUUAUUAGCCAUCAAGUGUUAUGAUAAUAGUAAUAAUAACACAUGUAAUAGUAAAAAUUAUAUUGCAGAAUGCAUUUUGAUAAUUUGUCAUUUAUUUUUAAAGUUAUAAUCCAUUAUAUGCCAUUGUUACAUCUACUAUUAUCAAAGCCAUAGUUACAAGAAUUAGUUGUUGGUAUUCAACUGACAACCCUAAAAAAGCUGAGUCUUAUGAAUCCAUCUCACAGCUAAGGGGGGUGGAUCUCCACCAUAAGACCUCGAUGGUCAACCAUGCGUUCGCCACAAAAGUCUGCAUGCACGUCACCCACAAAUUAAUGUUCAAAACUGUAUACCGGUGGUCAAUUUCAUUAAUUCAAUAAUCAAUUGAUUAUGCUGAUUUAUGCGAGUUCUGAACUUUCCUCCAAACAAACUAAGCUUCAAAACUGCCAAUUUUGUGUAUAGACACUCUCUGUAAGACUCUGAUCAAAUGUUCUUUUAAAAAUUUGGUAUCAAAAGUUUUUCUUAUGUGUUUUAUUGUUUGUUUUUUUUAUUUCUUACUAUUUUCUUUGUUUUACAAUUUUUGUUUUUAUUGUUUUUUUAGAUGGAAUUUGUUGAUGACACAUUUAUGAUCAUAAACAGCAUGGAAUCGAUUGGUUUUAAUCAGUAAAGGCAAGAAUAAUAUACAUUUAUGAAUUUUGGCUGAAAUUUUUUUGUAUUGGAAUUGUACAUGAAGCCAUGUUUUUGAGCAAUGUUUGGUCUGAGGUGCGCAACUUCAAAACCACAUGUGUGGACAAAAUUUUUUUGCAAGACUCAAAAGAAAAAGUCAUAACACAGUGUGUCUACUGCGUUGCAGGCAUGUUGCGUGAAACAAUGGGCCUUUUACUGUUAAGAUGGUAUAUACAUGUAGAUGAAAAAUGUAAUGCUGAUGCUAGAGGUGCAGCUGUAGUACUUUGGCUCUUUAUAUGCAAUCAUUUUUGAUAUAUUAUGUUUGUAAUCAUAUACAUGUACAUAAAUUAUGUAUGCUUGUUAUAUAGUUUAUAGGGCCUACAGGGUAACCUUAUUACAAGAUCUUCACCUUGUUAUCAGGCUUUCAGUGGUACCUCAUUAAGAGCGGUUCCUCUUGUUACCUUGCUGUAAAUUGAAAACCCAUGAUAAUAAUAAUAUAACAUGUGUAGGGGAGACUGGAAGUUCAGUGGGACACUCCAUUAUCUUAAUAAAUAUGAAGACAAUGUGAAAUUCAUUUACAUCAGUCAAAAGGCUUCACUAAAUGCCAUUUAAAAAUAUGCCAAAAACCACUGUAAACUUUUGCACACAAGUACAGGAUAAGCGCCUUAUUUUCACUACUUUUAUUACUGAUUUUAAACAUUUAUUCAAAAUUGUUUUUGCGGUUCCGAACGGUGAUCUGACAUUUGCUCCUGCGACAAUUGCUCGCCUUAUUUUCUUCAAAGGUAUAGGGUUAUGGUUCUGGUUGUGAUAGGUUUCUUGGUUCAGAAUAAUAGGAGGAUAAGGAUUAAGGUUAGUGUUAGGUUUGGGUUUAGGGUCCAUGAUUGGCUUAAUAUGCAGACUUUCCAUAGAGCAAGUGUAGCCAGAACAAAUGUCAUGGAAUCUCCCAACCAAGUGGGAUACCCCUUGUGAUAGUGAUUAUCCUCUGAGGUGAUUAAAUGAUUUAAUACAAGAUUUUUUGAUGGCCAUCAAUUUCAGUUGUUUUUAAUAUCUGGGGUAAACUGAGACAUUAGUAAUGCAAUGAGCAAUAUUGGUAUCCUUUUUUUGUGUCUGAGUGUACGCUUAUAUGGGUCUCCCAGUUUACCCUGAGGUGGCUCAAUUAACCCCCCAAACUAAGGGUUUGCAAAAUUUAUGAUUACAUGAAAAGUCAAGCUGUGAGAAUUCAAUCUAUAACUGCCAUAUUUACCUAUGUAUCUAUUAUGCAUCCUAGAAAAAAGGAAACCAUAUUUCAGGGCAGAAAUUUUCUGUCAUAAUAAUAAUUCCAUCGAUGAGAUAUACAUUUAUGAAAAGCUCUACUUUUAUUUGAUUGCUUAACAUAUUAUUCAUAUUUCACGCACGAUUGCAUUAAACCAAUAAAAAGUGGGGGUUCCAAAAUUUAAUUUACACAAAGCAAUUGCAACUUCGAGUUAGUAGGAUAAUAAAUAUAAAUUUUUUUUGAAAAAAAGAGACAUUACAUUGAAAAAAAAUCAUUAUUUUCUCUCGUACAUGACACCUUUGCAUUAAAAAUCAAUUAAGUACACUUGAGAAGAAGUAAAAUGAAAAUAUGCUAGAUUUCUUACAAUUGGGUAAGAAGCCAUUUUAGCUUUCCUGAUUUAGCAGCUGACUUUGGAUCUACAUGUAAUGCUUAAGUGAAUUCACACAAACCUUUCUGUUCACAUCCUUCCCAAGACAGCAUUAAAAGAGCCCCUGAACAUGGCUACUUAAACACUGUAUUGUGAUGGGUAAAUUCACUCAAGCAUUUGGUUCAUUGUCAGCUGCUAGAUUAAGAAAGCUGAAUGGCUUCUUAAUCAAAAUCUACUAAUUUGGGAGAAAUCAAGGAUCUUUUCAUUUUAUAUGCAUGAAGUGUCAUAUAAAAGAGAAAAAUAUUAAUUUGUGUGUGAUGUGUUUCUUUUUCCAAAAUAAGUAUCUUUACUACCCUAUAAACUAACUCAAAAUUGCAAUUUGUUUGUGCAAAUGAAAUUUUAAUACCACUACUUUCAAUUUGUUAAAUUCAACCAUGCAUGAAAUAUGAAUAAUAGAUUAUGCAUCAAAUAAGAAACCGAGCUUUCCACACAUGUACAUCUCAUUACAGAAAUUAUUAUCAUGACAUAAACAAAAUUGCCAUGAAAUCCAGUUUUUUUUUCUUGGGAUACACUGUAUAGUCUUUUAAUAUACAAACAUACAUGUACUUGGUUUCGUCCAAAUAUUUGCUUAGUUACAGUUGGUAAUAUUUUUAAAGUGAAGAAAAAUGUUCCAUUUCUCCCCGGUUUUCCCUAAUACAUGGGACUAUAAAUGAUUGGCAUUACCUUGGUGCAUGCUGAACACAAGUGCUUUCACUUUGAUUUCAUUACUUGUUCUGUGACAACAAAUCAACCAACAAUUUGGGAUCUACAUGUACUUAUUUCUACUAAUUACAGAAAUAAUUGUUAACCGUAAAUCUUCCCUUGUAUAUGUAUCUUAGAAUAUAAGGUUACCUACUUCCGUCAUUUAAUCUUCCCUUGUAUAUGUAUCUUAGAAUAUAAGGUCACCUACUUUACGUUUGAAUGAUUCUUGUUCAUUACUCAAAUUGUUUUCAACAUUUUGUCAUGAUUAAAAGAUUUUGAUGAUGUUAUUUUAACUAAAGCA
RNAcentral lists this long non-coding RNA (3897 nucleotides) under Strongylocentrotus purpuratus (purple sea urchin). Its description in RNAcentral is "uncharacterized LOC115926664". Lineage: Eukaryota; Metazoa; Echinodermata; Echinoidea; Camarodonta; Strongylocentrotidae. The record is from RNAcentral.